GACGAACGCUGGCGGCGUGCUUAACACAUGCAAGUCGAACGGAAAGGCCCUGCCUUUGUGGGGUGCUCGAGUGGCGAACGGGUGAGUAACACGUGAGUAACCUGCCCUUGACUUUGGGAUAACUUCAGGCAACUGGAGCUAAUCCCGGAUAGGAGCUCCUGCUGCAUGGUGGGGGUUGGAAAGUUUCGGUGGUUGGGGAUGGACUCGCGGCGUAUCGGCUUGUUGGUGGGGUAGUGGCUUACCAAGGCUUUGACGGGUAGCCGGCCUGGGAGGGGCACCGGCCAAGUUGGGACUGAGAUGCGGCACGGACUCGUACGGGAGGCAGGGGAGGGGAAGAUAGCACAGUGGGAGGAGGGCUGGUGCAGCAACGCAGCGUGGGGGAAGAGGGCCUGCGGGUUGGAAAGCGAUUUCGCCUGUGACGAAGCGUGAGUGACGGUAAUGGGUAAAGAAGCACCGGCUAACUACGUG
This 468-nucleotide ribosomal RNA is filed under the name uncultured bacterium. RNAcentral describes it as "partial 16S ribosomal RNA". It matches the Rfam family "Bacterial small subunit ribosomal RNA", at positions 28 to 507 of the family's 1533-position model. The record is from RNAcentral.